UCUUCCCAGCAAUUCCUGCAUGGUGCUGUAUCUUUUCGCAGUCGAUAUAUAUGUAUUUCCAAAGAUGGUGAUAUCAUGAGAGGACUCCCCCUAUUUUGAGUUUCUCAACGCAGCAACUACUAUAUGCUGGUAGAUUCAAUAGUCUACUGUUUGAACAGGGGAAGGAAAAAGGAAAUAUUUGGACAGCGGCGCCAUCGGACCUCAAGCCGCAUUUGUUGCUUUACCGAGGCAAGCCCAGUGAAUUUUAUACUGGUAUCCUUGCAAGCUCACUCAAGUCCCGGCGCCUAUGCCAGGAGACUCUUGUGGACUUUGCGGACUGAACUUUCAUAUAUGGCCUUCUCGCAAUCGAACAACAACGGGAC
This 362-nucleotide small RNA is filed under the name Histoplasma capsulatum var. duboisii H88. RNAcentral describes it as "Histoplasma capsulatum H88 hypothetical RNA". The record is from RNAcentral. Lineage: Eukaryota; Fungi; Ascomycota; Eurotiomycetes; Onygenales; Ajellomycetaceae.